GAUGAACGCUGGCGGCGUGCCUAAUACAUGCAAGUCGAGCGAACAGACGAGGAGCUUGCUCCUCUGACGUUAGCGGCGGACGGGUGAGUCACACGUGGAUAACCUACCUAUAAGACUGGGAUAACUUCGGGAAACCGGAGCUAAUACCGGAUAAUAUAUUGAACCGCAUGGUUCAAUAGUGAAAGACGGUUUUGCUGUCACUUAUAGAUGGAUCCGCGCCGCAUUAGCUAGUUGGUAAGGUAACGGCUUACCAAGGCAACGAUGCGUAGCCGACCUGAGAGGGUGAUCGGCCACACUAGAACUGAGACACGGUCCAGACUCCUACGAGAGGCAGCAGUAGGGAAUCUGCCGCAAUGGGCGAAAGCCUGACGGAGCAACGCCGCGUGAGUGAUGAAGGUCUUCGGAUCGUAAAACUCUGUUAUUAGGGAAGAACAAAUGUGUAAGUAACUAUGCACGUCUUGACGGUACCUAAACAGAAAGCCACGGCUAACUACGUG
Molecule: ribosomal RNA, 497 nt
Filed under: uncultured bacterium
Lineage: Bacteria
Description: partial 16S ribosomal RNA
Rfam family: Bacterial small subunit ribosomal RNA
Source: RNAcentral